UAAAGCGCGCGCAGGCGGUCUUUUAAGUCUGAUGUGAAAGCCCACGGCUCAACCGUGGAGGGUCAUUGGAAACUGGGAGACUUGAGUACAGAAGAGGAGAGUGGAAUUCCACGUGUAGCGGUGAAAUGCGUAGAUAUGUGGAGGAACACCAGUGGCGAAGGCGACUCUCUGGUCUGUAACUGACGCUGAGGCGCGAAAGCGUGGGGAGCAAACAGGAUUAGAUACCCUGGUAGUCCACGCCGUAAACGAUGAGUGCUAGGUGUUAGGGGUUUCGAUGCCCUUAGUGCCGAAGUUAACACAUUAAGCACUCCGCCUGGGGAGUACGACCGCAAGGUUGAAACUCAAAGGAAUUGACGGGGGCCCGCACAAGCAGUGGAGCAUGUGGUUUAAUUCGAAGCAACGCGAAGAACCUUACCAGGUCUUGACAUCCUUUGACAACCCUAGAGAUAGGGCUUUCCCCUUCGGGGGACAAAGUGACAGGUGGUGCAUGGUUGUCGUCAGCUCGUGUCGUGAGAUGUUGGGUUAAGUCCCGCAACGAGCGCAACCCUUGAUCUUAGUUGCCAGCAUUCAGUUGGGCACUCUAAGGUGACUGCCGGUGACAAACCGGAGGAAGGUGGGGACGACGUCAAAUCAUCAUGCCCCUUAUGACCUGGGCUACACACGUGCUACAGUGGAUGGUACAAAGAGCAACAAAACCGCGAGGUCGAGCCAAUCUCAUAAAGCCAUUCUCAGUUCGGAUUGUAGGCUGCAACUCGCCUACAUGAAGCCGGAAUUGCUAGUAAUCGCGG
This 788-nucleotide ribosomal RNA is filed under the name uncultured bacterium. RNAcentral describes it as "bacterial SSU rRNA". It matches the Rfam family "Bacterial small subunit ribosomal RNA", at positions 561 to 1347 of the family's 1533-position model. The record is from RNAcentral.